ACCAAGAUGGCCGAGUGGACUAUGGCGGUGGCCUUAAGCUUGAAGCGUAAUAUCCACUAUCGAAAGAUUCCUGGGUUCGAACCCCAGUCUUGGUA
RNAcentral lists this transfer RNA (95 nucleotides) under Metarhizium rileyi. Its description in RNAcentral is "tRNA-Leu". It matches the Rfam family "tRNA". Rfam says of the family: Transfer RNA (tRNA) molecules are approximately 80 nucleotides in length. Their secondary structure includes four short double-helical elements and three loops (D, anti-codon, and T loops). Lineage: Eukaryota; Fungi; Ascomycota; Sordariomycetes; Hypocreales; Clavicipitaceae. The record is from RNAcentral.